This 242-nucleotide unclassified non-coding RNA is filed under the name Hevea brasiliensis (rubber tree). Lineage: Eukaryota; Viridiplantae; Streptophyta; Magnoliopsida; Malpighiales; Euphorbiaceae. The record is from RNAcentral.
AAAGAGGGGAAAGAGAAUGACAAAGCAUGUGUGCCCAAACACCUAAAUCUGCAAUCAUACAAUCACACAGUAUGUUGCAACCUGAACAUAGAGAUGAUCAGGAAUGAAGCAGGGGAAGAAAUAAUAAUGUUUAUGAUGAGAAGUAAACCUCUAUUAUGAGAAAAAUACACAAAGUUGGAACCUGGAUGAUGUUCUUCAUCUUCGUAACUUAACCAAGCCAGGUCCAGUGUAAGGCUGCCUAA